This 468-nucleotide ribosomal RNA is filed under the name uncultured bacterium. RNAcentral describes it as "partial 16S ribosomal RNA". It matches the Rfam family "Bacterial small subunit ribosomal RNA", at positions 28 to 507 of the family's 1533-position model. The record is from RNAcentral.
GACGAACGCUGGCGGCGUGCUUAACACAUGCAAGUCGAACGGAAAGGCCCUGCUUUUGUGGGGUGCUCGAGUGGCGAACGGGUGAGUAACACGUGAGUAACCUGCCCUUGACUUUGGGAUAACUUCAGGAAACUGGGGCUAAUACCGGAUAGGAGCUCCUGCUGCAUGGUGGGGGUUGGAAAGUUUCGGCGGUUGGGGAUGGACUCGCGGCUUAUCAGCUUGUUGGUGGGGUAGUGGCUUACCAAGGCUUUGACGGGUAGCCGGCCUGAGAGGGUGACCGGCCACAUUGGGACUGAGAUACGGCCCAGACUACUACGGGAGGCAGCAGUGGGGAAUAUUGCACAAUGGGCGAAAGCCUGAUGCAGCAACGCCGCGUGCGGGAUGACGGCCUUCGGGUUGUAAACCGCUUUCGCCUGUGACGAAGCGUGAGUGACGGUAAUGGGUAAAGAAGCACCGGCUAACUACGUG